RNAcentral lists this ribosomal RNA (465 nucleotides) under uncultured bacterium. Its description in RNAcentral is "partial 16S ribosomal RNA". It matches the Rfam family "Bacterial small subunit ribosomal RNA", at positions 28 to 507 of the family's 1533-position model. The record is from RNAcentral.
GACGAACGCUGGCGGCGUGCUUAACACAUGCAAGUCGAACGGAAAGGCCCCUUUGGUGGUACUCGAGUGGCGGACGGGGGAGUAACACGUGAGUAACCUUCCCUUGACUUCGGGAUAACUUCAGCAAACUGAGGCUAAUACCGGUUAGGAAUCCUUUCUGCAUGGGCGGGGUUGGAAAGCUUCGGCGGGUUUGGAUGGACUGGCGGCUUAUCUGCUUGCUGGUGGGGUAGUGGGUUACCGAGGCGUCGUAGGGUAGCCGGACUGAGUAGGCGACCGGCCACCCUGGGUCUUAGAGACGGCACAGACACCUACGGGAGGGAGCAGGGGGGAAUACUGCCGAAGGGGCGGCAGGCUGAUGAAGCAAGGCCUCGGGCGGGAUGACGCCCUUCGGGGUGAAAACCGCUUUCAGAAGGAGCGAAGCUUGUGGUGACGGUACCUGCAGAAGAAGCACCGGCUAACUACGUG